This 468-nucleotide ribosomal RNA is filed under the name uncultured bacterium. RNAcentral's name for it is "partial 16S ribosomal RNA". It matches the Rfam family "Bacterial small subunit ribosomal RNA", at positions 28 to 507 of the family's 1533-position model. The record is from RNAcentral.
GAUGAACGCUGGCGGCGUGCUUAACACAUGCAAGUCGAACGGAAAGGCCAGUGCUUGCACUGGUACUCGAGUGGCGAAAGGGUGAGUAACACGUGGGUGAUCUGCCCUGCACUUCGGGAUAAGCCUGGGAAACUGGGUCUAAUACCGGAUAGGACAAUGGUUUGGAUGCCGUUGUGGAAAGUUUUUUCGGUGUGGGAUGAGCUCGCGGCCUAUCAGCUUGUUGGUGGGGUAAUGGCCUACCAAGGCGUCGACGGGUAGCCGGCCUGAGAGGGUGUACGGCCACAUUGGAACUGAGAGACGGCCCAGACUCCUACGGGAGGCAGCAGUGGGGAAUAUUGCACAAUGGGCUCAAGCCUGAUGCAGCGACGCCGCGUGGGGGAUGACGGCCUUCGGGUUGUAGACUCCUUUCGAUAGGGACGAAGCGUAUUUGUGACGGUACCUGGAGAAGAAGCACCGGCUAACUACGUG